Apis mellifera (honey bee) is the source of this 3577-nucleotide long non-coding RNA. RefSeq lists it as uncharacterized. The transcript has 3 exons. NCBI's taxonomy places the organism in Eukaryota, Metazoa, Arthropoda, Insecta, Hymenoptera, Apidae. The record is from RefSeq and is a predicted model, not a curated record.
UUUAAAUUCAAUUUAAUAAUUCAGAGACAGUUAUUAUUUCAUUAAUUCAUUCAUACAAUUCUUCAAUUAAAAGACAAUUUAUUAUGCUACCUUUGUACAGUCAACAUACUGCAGCUAUUUAAAAUUAAUUCAUUGAGCAAUCCAGAUAAAUUCAAAAAAAGAAACAUCUCUUUCUUUUUCCAAGAGGAAAAAGAAAUCUACGAAUCUUAAAUCUCUCCAAGAAAAAAAAAAGUCGAUUGGAAUUCUCAAAACUCGAGCAGGAUCUCGUUUCUUUAAUAACCCCUUAAUAAAGCGAUCGACCCGUUCUCUCGAAGAAGAAUCCGCAAGGAUGUUCGCGUUAACGUAACUGUAUCACGUCUCAACGUCGUUCCACAUAACGAGAUAGAGAGAGAGAGAGAGAGAGAUGGGAAGACUGGAUACGCCUUUGCUGAUCGUUUUGUCCACCAAGCCUUCGAUUAGGUCGCAAUAGUAGGUAACCACCUACCGAGAUAUUACUCUACGCGUGAUGCACGUUUUUUGCGAGGAUCGAAAGAUAACGAACGAACGAGUUUCAACUCGUGUCUUCUGCGCCCUAUCUCUAUCUCUCUCUCUCUCUUUGAGGGGAGAGCCUCGGUCACGUCCGAUUAAUUUCGAGUUAUUCCGCGCUCGAAAGUAGCUCGAUCUCCUCUCCGAUUAAUUUCAAGAGGGGAAUAUGUGAUAUAUAUAUACAUUAUAAUAGGCAGAGUGAUAUAUCUGUCUUGUCCUGGGUGAGGAUAAUGUCACUUGCGAAGCUUCUUCCGAUUAAUUUCGAAAGAUUAUGUAUUCUGGUUUCGUUGGUUGCAGUCGUGGUUUCGCUUUUGGAAGGGUGUUAUAUCGACGAUUUCUCACGGAAGAGUCUUGAAUUUUUUUUUUUAAAUAGUUAUUAAUAAGAUAUUUCUAGAGAGGAUUGAUAUUCUGGAAAAGGAAUAAAAAGUUUAUUAUCGUUACGAGUUUCGCAGUAAUCGAGUUUAGAGGGUAAUUUCAUCGGAUAUUAUGAUUCCAAAUCUUGGUCGGAUUGCUUAUUGCUUCCAGGUUCAGGUUGGAUUAAAACUAGUAUAAUUUCUUUUUUUUUUAUUGUAAUUUGUAUCUUGAAUAAAUAUUCUUGUCUUUAAUUAUAUUUGUCGAAAUAGUCUAUUUUGUAUCUAAAUCAUUUAAUACGAAUAAUUAAUAUUUCGUAUUGAUAAGGAAUUUGUUUCCAAUAAUUGGAUCUUUAUUUGUUUAUUGUUCUACAAUCUUCGAUACCAUUGAUCGAAAUUAAAAUUCCUUCCUCUCGUAGACGAUCGAGAAAAGUUGUAUUUAUAGGUAAAAAUAAAUGAUAACUUCAUCUCAAAAAUAUAUAAUUUACCUUCCACUAAUAAAUACCUUCCUUUCUCCACCGAAAGAAAGCAAAUAAAAAUCGUUAUCCUAAUCGCCACGAGUUCCGCGUACACAUAAAUUCAUCCUUGCGCAUUAUUUGCGUAACGCAAAGCUAAUUUUAUGAUUUCUCGAUAUUACAACACUCGAAAGAUCUCCUUUUUUUCCCUAUCGUUUCAUCUUUGCAUCCAAGAAGCUUCUCGAGGGAUUAUUCUCGAAUUAUUCUCGAUAAUUACGUAAUACAUUCGCAACCCAUUUCGCCUGAUGAUGUACAAUUUAUUAUCCUCGUCGUAAAUAUGCAAUAAAUGUGUAACAGAAAAUGGACGCACGGUUAUCGGUUGUGUACGGUAAUUCGAUCAUCAUUUUCCCUUGGAUUAACAGCGAAAUUCCAGGCUAAUGCGACGCUAAAGCAAAGCUUCGUUGAUAUUAAUAAUUGCGGAUUUCUGUAUCGUAUCAACGGCCGGCUAAUGUUUCCUCUAUGGCUCACCGCCUUAGAAACCGGAAGGUUAACCAUCUUCCUCGAACUCGUCGUUGAAUAUCUCGUAAAAUUUUUCCCCGUUCAACGGAUCGAAUCGUUUCGAAGAAUGUUCCGCGCGAGGAUCAAGGUCGUUUUACACCGUGUACGCCCAUUAAAUUCAUUUAAUAAUAAUCAAGUGGAAUUUUGUGCCGAAUGAAUCUUUUAAAUUGAAAAUGAAACGUGUCUAUGAAAUUGUUUGACAGCCACUUUAUCAAUUAUGCUUCUACUUGAAUGAAAAAUUCGUAGAUAGAUCAAUUUGACUUGCAAAAUUUGUUAAAUAUUUGAAUUCUAAUUAGUUGUCUGUAAUUAACUGAAAACAAUGGAGUGGAACAAUGGUAUGUUAUUUGAAUUUGUAUUACGAGAGCAAAUUAACAAAUUCUUUGAUUUAAUUAUUUUUUAUAUGGUUAUGAUUUUUUUAAUUGGUAGUACAGAGAGUGAUCUGGUAUUUCUACUCAUACUUUCUAUUUCUAUCUACCACGAGUAUACGUAGUUUUGCAUAAUUGACGUGACAAUCAGACCAUCGUUUGAAAUCAAAAGGUUAAUUUAAGAGGUUAUGUAUAUCGACGAAAAAGAUAUUGAACAAACUUUGAUUUUAAAAAAUAUUUAUAAAUUAUAUAUAAAAAAUUGAUGGAUUAAGAGAAAAAUUUAUCACGAAAUCAAUUUCAACGUGGAAUAGAAUCAGGAAAUAUCGAACAUUUGAUUUCGUUGGCCUCGAUAAAUCGAUUAAAGUCGCUUCAAUAACGGUCACUAUCGAAUGCUGUUCGACCGGUAAAACAGUUUGUAUAAAGCGGUUGGAACACGUAACGAUCCGCGUUAAUUGAGGCAACACGAAACGACGGUCGACAUAAUGAAAUUGAAGCUGGAAACGCGAACAACGACGCAUAAAUUGCACAGGUUCGAGCGGUUGCGUAUAUAUUAUGUACUCGUGACAUUAAAAUUGCAAAUGAUAAUACAGUUCUCGUUACUGGUCAAAGAAGAUAGCUCGUUACGGUAAAUUAAAGGUAAAAAGUGAACGAGAGAAUCGAGAAAGAUGAAUUUCGCGAUUUUUUAUCGUAUCUUAUCAUAGGUAUCUUCAUAACACGCGAUUUAUAUGGCGACAUGAUAACGUAAUACUUUUUCAAUCUCACGUGUUCGACCGUCAAUCGUACUUUGCUUCGUUUCUAUUACUCGAUACAACGAAGAAAAACAAUCGAAUAAUAAUCGCGUAUACAAAUUUUGAUGACUACAGUUUACACUUACACACAUUCGACUCAUCGGUGUUUGUGCUUAUUAGCUUUUACAAUUUUAGGUUAUUAGACGUUAAAUGUGGAAUAGAUUUGGAUACAAAGGUAAAGUAGUUCGGAGAAGCAGCAUCCAAAGUACUAAUCCUUCAUCCCAAGUAUCAUGCUGAGUUUCUGAUCCUUGUCGACGAGCCCUCUGCAUGCAGCCCACAUGAGUGGUGACCAACAAGACGGAUCGCUUCUAUGUAAAAUAAAUCCGCGCCGAAGAUCGAAACGACGCUGUGGAUUUUUGUGGAAAGUGGAUCUGCAAGUUUCGAGUCGCGCAAGGUCGUCCCAGGACAACAUCUUAAAUAACGGAAUUCUAUUCUUUAUUCCGGGAUUCUAUCCCCUUAUCUUCGUGUAUACCGCAACUGGAUGGGAACUGCUGCUAUUCAUCGCCUCGAAUUAUCCACGAGAGAAACUUAUUAUA